This 497-nucleotide ribosomal RNA is filed under the name uncultured bacterium. RNAcentral's name for it is "partial 16S ribosomal RNA". It matches the Rfam family "Bacterial small subunit ribosomal RNA", at positions 28 to 507 of the family's 1533-position model. The record is from RNAcentral.
GAUGAACGCUGGCGGCGUGCCUAAUACAUGCAAGUCGAGCGAACAGACGAGGAGCUUGCUCCUCUGACGUUAGCGGCGGACGGGUGAGUAACACGUGGAUAACCUACCUAUAAGACUGGGAUAACUUCGGGAAACCGGAGCUAAUACCGGAUAAUAUAUUGAACCGCAUGGUUCAAUAGUGAAAGACGGUUUUGCUGUCACUUAUAGAUGGAUCCGCGCCGCAUUAGCUAGUUGGUAAGGUAACGGCUUACCAAGGCGACGAUGCGUAGCCGACCUGAGAGGGUUGUCGGCCACACUGGAACUGGACCCCGGUCCAGCCACCGACGGGAGGAAAGAGGAGGGAAUCUUCCGCAAUGGGCGAAAGCUUGACGGAGAAACCCCGAGUGAGUGAUAAAGGUCUUCGGAUCAUAAAACUUUUUUAUUGGGGAAGAAAAAAUGUGUAAGUAAAUAUGCGCGUCUUGACGGUACCUAAGCAAAAAGCCACGGCAAACUACGGG